RNAcentral lists this ribosomal RNA (352 nucleotides) under Anatololacerta danfordi (Danford's lizard). Its description in RNAcentral is "partial small subunit ribosomal RNA". Lineage: Eukaryota; Metazoa; Chordata; Lepidosauria; Squamata; Lacertidae. The record is from RNAcentral.
GAACUACAAGUGAAAAACUUCAAACUUAAAGGACUUGACGGUAUCCCAAACCGACCUAGAGGAGCCUGUCCUAUAAUCGAUACCCCCCGCUCCACCCAACCUCAACUAGCACAAUAUCAGCCUAUAUACCGCCGUCGACAGCCUACCCUAUGAAGGUCCAACAGUAGACAUAAUAGCCCCCCACUAACACGUCAGGUCAAGGUGUAGCAAAUGUUGAGGAAGAGAUUGGCUACAUUUUUUAUGAUAAAAAAAACGAAAAGUAUUAUGAAACAGUACAUGAAGGUGAAUUUAGUAGUAAAAUAAACAAGAGUGUUUAUUUUAACACCGCUCUGGGAUGCGUACACACCGCCCG